Molecule: unclassified non-coding RNA, 2940 nt
Filed under: Leishmania donovani
Lineage: Eukaryota; Euglenozoa; Kinetoplastea; Trypanosomatida; Trypanosomatidae
Description: gene:unknown
Source: RNAcentral
UGGCGAGCGGCAGCACAACAGCGGAAAAACAACAACAAAGACCUUUUUUUUUUCAUAGUUUUGUGCGUGUCACGCCCCAACUCCCUCCCGCUUUCCGUGUCCUACCCUCAUAUCCGCAAAUCAUGUGAGCGAAACAGGCGUGUAUGCAUGCGUGCGCAGGUGUGUGCUUUGCGGCUGGUGGCGACACUUCCGUGGAAAGGGGGAGACGGCCGGCGCACUCACGCUCUCCAUCACCGUCCCCCUCCCCCAUUGCCUUCGAUUUCUCGCUCAAAGGAUGAGGAGGAACACAUGCCAACGGCAAUGAAAUGGGGUAGAAGCGCAGUUUUGUGUUUCCGUUUUCGAUGUUGGGGUCUCUGUUGUACACGUGCAUGGAUGCGCCUGUGCAUGUGUGGAGACAUGCUGUGUGCGAUGCACGAGGUGGUGGAUGAUGCGAGCAGAGCUCAAGGAAAAGCACAGCAAGCCCGAUGCGGCGCGAAGCCUGGGGAUGCUCUUCUUUCCAGUAUCUCGCCGUCGCCGUUUGUAUGUCUCUCUCUCUAUAUGUUUUUGUGUGCAUCCGCCAUGCAAACCUCGACAUGGAUGGACACAUCUCACUUGCGUUCUUUUUUUUUGUGGGCUGUACGUGCUCUCCUCGUUUUUUUUUGCCUUUUUUUUCGUUGUACCCUUUCCAUUGGCAUCGCUGGCUGCUUCCGUUUUUUUUUUUUGGUUAAGAUUCCAUGCUCAUUUUUUCGUGAUUCGGGGUCUGCUCGCCCAUGCUUUUACCAGCCGCACAUGUGGCAUAUACAUCUCUAUGUUUUGUCGCGUUGUUUUAUUUAGGUUCUGGGCGCUGCCUCACCUUCCUCUUCUCCCUCCCCCCACGCACACUCGGCCUGCUUUUUGUUUUGCUCUGCCGUCCUUAUUUACUCUGUCCAUGUGACAGUUCUAUGGUGAUUCCCUCUCUCCUUCUCUUGUGAGCACCGAUGCUUUUCUUUUUUUUUUUCAGUUGCGUAUGUUUAUUGUCUCUAUGCCAGCGAUCCUGAUGGUGCCGUCCACCUCACCGAGGUAUCUGGGUCUCGUACCCCACUCUGGGUGUCGGAGGACACGUUCGGGCCGGCACUGUGCGGAAUGCAGCGUUGCAGGACGAUAAAAAGGAACAAUCCCUCUCUCUCCGUGUUUCGUGCGCAUACUUAUACACUCGGAUGCACUCACACAUGUCUGUACUUGUACUUCUCCUACAGCCCCUAACGACGCAUGCACCUCUUGCCCCUCUUCCCCUGUUCCGUCUGCGUCCACGACCAUCCCUCUUUCUCUCUCUGUUUAGUUGUGUGAGGGCGUUUCUCGUCUAUCAUAUUUCAAGUGGUGUGUCUCCACCGCCACGGCCUCUGCCUCUCGUAGAAGCAUCCGCCAAGCAUCCAAAACGAAGCGCAGGGCAAGGGAAAAACAACAACUGCCCUUCUCUCUCUUUUUUUUUGUGUGUGUUGCAUCCACUUCCCGCUGUCCUGCCAUCCGUUGUCGUGAUAAUCGCUCGCUCUUUCUCUGUGUUCGACGCUGACUCUUCUCCGUUUUCUUUCGUUUUUCCGUCUUCCUAUCCGCCUUUGAAGGCCAUCAGCGCAGCGCAAACUACCGCGAUGGUGCAGUGCGUCGCUUGAGCAACGCAAGAAAGAAGCAACUAAGAGGAGAGCGGUACACACACACACACAAACACCUAAACCCAGGGAGACGCAAUAGCAUUGCUCCACUCUUCUGACCUCUCUGUCUCUGAUGUUGUUCACAUGACGAGUGCUAUCGGUUUCUCGCUUUCCGUCUUCAUGCUCGUGCGUGCAUCUCUCACUGCGUGCUGUUGUGAGACGUCGGUUUUGUGAUGAUGAUCCUCAUCUUCCCUGGCUGAGGUAUUCUCUUCGGCAACGCUCUUUUUCUUUGGUCGUUUUCUGUGCGGCGCGAAUUCGCUUUUUCCUUUUCCGUUCUUUCACCUUCGUUCUGCUCUCGUUCUUUCAUUGCCUUCACGCAUGCCUCGUUCUCUUGGCGUGCAGACCUCAGAGAGUGAAAGGAGGGAGGGGGGUAGAGGGGGUGUGAGAGGCAACGACCACCUACACACACACCAACAGCCGCCUCUCCUCUUCAUUCCUCCGUCCGCGUUUUCGCCCAUCCACGUGCAUUUUGUGUCUCUCUGCUUAUGGGCACGUGAUGGACUCCAGGAGGCCUCAGCUGUCUCACGAGUCUCCCUCUCCCCUCCCGUCCUCUCUCUCCCCCUCUCCAUCCCUCUCUAACGACAUUUAUGCUCGCUGUGUUUCAUUGUGCUAUGGCCGCCUUUUUUUAUAAAUAUCUCCCUCUCUUCCUCUCCGCCGCAUCCAAGAAGGAGCAGGACCAGUGCAUUGACGAAACAACGCGCACCCGAAGGCACAGAAAAAGGAAUGGCGCCGUGUCGCCUCCGAUCACGGACCCAAGCGGGCGGGGGCGUACCGUUCCUGUCGCUCAAGAGCCUUCGCAAGAAGAGCAAGGAGCGAUGCAGGCAAGGUAGCAAGGCCCCAGGUGAAGGCGGACGGGGUUGUGUCGAGUUGUUGAGGGAUGCUUGUCACCAGACACGCGCACGUGGAGGGGGGAAUGACGGGCUAGGCGCGCUUGCUUAUCUCCUGUUGCUGCCGGCUCUUCGCAGCUUCGUUGCCCAUCAUCUCUAAGAAAACGGCGACAGCGGUGGGUGUACAGGUGUCUGCAGCUGCGCAUGCCCUUCCAACCUUUGUACUGCAAAAGCGCGGCACUAGUCAAGGAUUGCCUAGGUGGUAAUCAUUACCUACCUUCCCACACCUGCGCUGCCUCUAUCUCGUGCUUCACACGCUCUCUUUAUCUUCCCAACCUUUUAUUUGCGGGCGAUAUCCCUCUCUACUCUCAACCACGCACCGACCUCAUUGUGCACGCCUUCUGCGCAUUUUGAGUUUUGAAUCACCCUGGGACCGAAAUGCUGCCCAG